AAUACAAAAACCUCUCAAUCAUAUUUUAUUUGAUCUCUAUGUCACAGCUCACAGGCCCAUGCACCUGCAUGCAAUAUCUGGAAUAUAUUCAUUUGUAUUGCGAAUGUAAAGCAUAUGUUUAGGUGGAAGAAGGUGUACAGUGACACCACCCACAAAAUUGCUGGGGAAGGCUUACUCAAAAAGGAGGUUAUAAAUAUUGCAACUGCUUCAUUUGCUGUAUCUGAUUGCCUCUAAUUCAAGCCAGGAGUCAAAAUGAUCAUCUUAUUUCUUUCCAUUAUUUUAAAAUGUUUUCUGUUUCAGGCUCCUCUCUCAGUGACAAAGUCCACCAGAGACCAGCUGACAUUUAUAUAAAUUCAACAGAUACAGCCAAAAUCUACUGUUCACACAGAAUAGACAGCUACGAUCAAAUCCUUUGGUACAAGCAGUUAAAGAACAAGCAGCUACAGUUCCUGGGACGCUUGUACAUAAGCAUGGCAAAUGUAGAGACCGGAGUGAACGUGUCAAUAACUGGGAGUGCAAAUAAAGACCAGACCUGCACAUUAACUGUUAAACAUCUCACCCUGAACAGUGGUGCCGUGUACUUCUGUGCUGCUACAUACCACAGUGCUACAUAUCACUCAUCCUCAAUACAAAAACCUUAUCAUAGUGGUUUCCAUGUCUGCAUGAAACUCCAUGACAAGCAAGCUUAAAGCCAGUUAUAUUGUUUCCUUUCAUAAGGUGGCAGUACAGCCCCACAGUAGCUGACUUGAUUGUAACAUUAAGAGGAGGUUUAUCCAAGUCCACCCAUUUCCUGUUUAUGUCUGUGUGCUGAUAGGCAGCUUGACUUGAAAGGAGGCUGGAAAUUACCAGUACAAAUGUUUAUGAACUGAAGGAAAAACCGACCAUAAGAACAACACUGCAGUCUCUUAUUUUUCCACUAACAUUUAGAAAACACAAAAUGUUUGUCUUAUUGCUAAGCACUACUUUUAACACCAUACUGGUUUCAGGCCUCUCUCCUAGCGACCGUGUCCACCAGGAACCAGCUGACAUGUACAAAACAUCUGAAGAUAUAGCCAAAAUUCAAUGUUUGCAGAGUAUCGACGACAACCACAACCGAAUCCUCUGGUACAAGCAAUCAAAUAACCAGCUGCAGCUCCUGGGGUACAUGUUAGCAAACAGAGGAUCUCCAGAGACCGGACUGAACGUGUCAAUAGAGGGGAGUGCAAAUAAAGACCAGACCUGCACAUUAACAAUUAAAAGACUCGACUUCAAUAGCAGUGCAGUGUAUUUCUGUGCAGCGAGUUACCACAGUGCUACAUAUCACUGAGUCACAAUACAAAAACCUUGCACUUGGCAGUUUCUCCCUUACAGCCCCUUGCACCUGUGUUCUAACCAACAUUGGUCUUCUGGUUAGAACGAAGCAUUGAAAUGGGAGGUCCUUAAUGUGAAGUAAAGCUUUUAAUUGCUACCCAUCAUUACACAGGCUUCUUACUUACAGUGU
Molecule: long non-coding RNA, 1480 nt
Organism: Oreochromis niloticus (Nile tilapia)
Lineage: Eukaryota; Metazoa; Chordata; Actinopteri; Cichliformes; Cichlidae
Exons: 3
Source: RefSeq, a predicted model, not a curated record